RNAcentral lists this long non-coding RNA (1651 nucleotides) under Heterocephalus glaber (naked mole-rat). RNAcentral's name for it is "lncRNA (ENSHGLG00000026136.2)". Lineage: Eukaryota; Metazoa; Chordata; Mammalia; Rodentia; Bathyergidae. The record is from RNAcentral.
CUCUGGGUACCCUAAUAAACUUAGCGCUCUUUUGGUCCAGGGCGGAGUCUCUCUCCAAUGAAGAGCCCUGGGCUGGGGCUGGGGUUUCCUGGCUAACCCGGGAAGGGCGGGCAGGGGCAGGAAAACUAUCAGAGGGAAGAAGGAAGAGGGACUGGAAACUCCCUUCCAAGCACCAGAAAGAAAGUUCAAAGCAAGCAUAUCAGUGGUGUGUCCUGAGAGCUAUUUUCAUAUAUGAAAGAGGGAAUGUUAGAUUAAACAAUGUCACCUGAUGGGAAUUUAGAUUACUGCAGGUUUCCAAAACACUAUGCAGAGUGUACAGGAAAACAGCACAAAGAAAGGAAGUUUUGCACUUCAGUAGGAUUCUGAAGCAGGUGCUUAUUUACCACAACCUAGAACCUUCCCAAUGAUUUUAUUUCAAACACAAAAAGAACAUUUUUUUUAAAAAAAAUACUUUUAAGAGUUGACUAAUGACCUGGAUAUCACUAAACAUAAUACUUUCUUUGGAAAGUAAUCUCUCCAUGAUUAGAGUUCCUUAUCUGAGCCACCCAAAGAAACUAAUCUGUUGUCCUAGAUUCUUUCUGGUGCUUUUGUUUAUUUGGUUGGUUGGUUGGUUUUUUGUGGGGCUAGGGAUCAAGCCUAGGGCCUUGCAUAGGCUUGGUAAGUGCUCUACUACUGACCUACAUACAUCCCCAGCGUCCCCCCCCCCCAGAUGUUGGAAGUUUCAUGAGAUGGCCCCACUGUAGAUGGGUGUUCUCCAGACAACAGCUAGGAACUAAAAACUCAAACCACUCUUCAGCGCCUAAGGACUUACCAGCCCCUCAGAUUCCUAACAGGAUCAUCUCCCAACCUGUGGUCACAGACCUGUCCUCCCCAGAAUUGUCCCCACAUCUUUGCUGCACAAGGGAUGACCCAUCUUCUUGAGGUUCACACAGUCAGGGCUUCCAGGCUGAAGUUCUCACACCUUAGACCAAGUUGCUUCCUGAAGUUGUUCAUUAUUUGUUGAGCCUUAUCACAGUGAUAAUAAUAAUCAUGGUUUUAUAAGGCAUUUCUACAUAGGAAUCACUUCAUUUGGGUAUCAUAAAAAUCACUAAUGUUGGGCACUUGUAGCAAAACUCUUCCCAGUGAAGCAUACUUCAUCCACCAUUAUUAAAUCAUGCUCACUGAAGAGAGACUUGAAGUACUUUUAGACCAAAAAAAACCCUCUAACUAUAAAAAAGCCUUGAUCUCACCAACUAUGUGGGUAUUAAUGAGAUCAUACUUUGCUCACUGUAAUUUCUGUAUUGUAGGACCUAUGUGAAACAACAGUGUGGCUUGAACAGUAAAUACUUGGGUAAAAUACUAGGAUAAAUGAGCUGCCUUACAAAGGUCACAUGUGUUAUUACUUCACCACCACCACCACCACCUCCGGCCAUUCCAAAAUACCCAGCACACAAGAUCAGAGGCUGCACCAAACUUCAAGCAAAAAUUAGGCCCAUGAGGGGAGGUAUGGUGGUGCACGCCUGUAAUCCCAGCACUCAGGAGGCAGAGGCAGAAGGAUUGCUGCGAGUCUGAGGCCAGCCUGAACUACAUAAUGGGACCCUGUCUCAAAAACAAAACAAAACAAAUAUAUAAUUUUUCCUAGAAUGCAAAAAUAAAACUUUGAUAACUUGCC